UACGUAGGGUGCAAGCGUUAAUCGGAAUUACUGGGCGUAAAGCGUGCGCAGGCGGUGAUGUAAGACAGGUGUGAAAUCCCCGGGCUCAACCUGGGAACUGCAUCUGUGACUGCAUUGCUGGAGUGCGGCAGAGGGGGAUGGAAUUCCGCGUGUAGCAGUGAAAUGCGUAGAGAUGUGGAGGAAUACCGAUGGCGAAGGCAGCCCCCUGGGUCAAUACUGACGCUCAUGCACGAAAGCGUGGGGAGCAAACAGG
RNAcentral lists this ribosomal RNA (253 nucleotides) under uncultured bacterium. RNAcentral describes it as "partial 16S ribosomal RNA". It matches the Rfam family "Bacterial small subunit ribosomal RNA", at positions 524 to 776 of the family's 1533-position model. The record is from RNAcentral.